UGUGGAAUUUGUGUUAUUGGAUACAGAUUGUUCUUGGCUGAGCUUCAUCUUGCAACCACCCUACUGCCGGCAGCGGUGCAUAUAGACGGUGUUUACACCAUUGGUGGCCGCUGGGCUUCGAGUAACAAUUGAUUGCAAGCCAAAAAAUGGACACUUAAAGACAAGAGGGGUAGGGAAACUCGAUGAAGAAGGAAAGUUCAAA
Molecule: long non-coding RNA, 202 nt
Organism: Quercus robur (English oak)
Lineage: Eukaryota; Viridiplantae; Streptophyta; Magnoliopsida; Fagales; Fagaceae
Exons: 2
Source: RefSeq, a predicted model, not a curated record